Molecule: non-coding RNA, 72 nt
Organism: Phrynosoma platyrhinos (Desert horned lizard)
Lineage: Eukaryota; Metazoa; Chordata; Lepidosauria; Squamata; Phrynosomatidae
Source: the annotation of a GenBank genome assembly
GCCAAUGUGGUGAAGUGGUUUCAGUGCUGGACUAGGACUCCAGAGGACCAGGUUCAAGUCCAUGCUCAGCUA